UGCUUUCGUGUGUUUUUCAUUUAACUCAUGGACAAACUUAUAAACAGGUGCAAAUAUUAAACCUUUUUUUUGCAAUCUAAAACUCAUUGUUCAGUAUGAGUCUUGUUACAUAUAAGAAAGAAUAUU
This is a small nucleolar RNA of Ictidomys tridecemlineatus (thirteen-lined ground squirrel), 126 nucleotides long. The record is from Ensembl. Lineage: Eukaryota; Metazoa; Chordata; Mammalia; Rodentia; Sciuridae.